AAUCAACGCUGGCGGCGUGCCUCAGACAUGCAAGUCGAACGCGAAAGGCUCCUUCGGGAGCCCGGUAGAGUGGCGCACGGGUGAGUAACACGUGGGUAAUUUACCUUCGGGUGGGGAAGUAACAGCCGGAAACGGCUGCUAAUACCGCAUAAUGCAGCGGCACCACAUGGUGACAGUUGUUAAAGUGGGGGAGUCGCAAGACCUCACGCCUGAAGAGAAGCCCGCGGCGGAUUAGCAGUUGGCGGGGUAAUGGCCCACCAAGGCGUCGAUCCGUAGCCGGCCUGAGAGGGCGGUCGGCCACACUGACACUGAAUAACGGGUCAGACUCCUACGGGAGGCAGCAGUCGGGAAUUUGGGCAAUGGGCGCAAGCCUGACCCAGCAACGCCGCGUGAAGGA
RNAcentral lists this ribosomal RNA (397 nucleotides) under uncultured bacterium. RNAcentral describes it as "bacterial SSU rRNA". It matches the Rfam family "Bacterial small subunit ribosomal RNA", at positions 29 to 408 of the family's 1533-position model. The record is from RNAcentral.